This 230-nucleotide unclassified non-coding RNA is filed under the name Hevea brasiliensis (rubber tree). The record is from RNAcentral. Lineage: Eukaryota; Viridiplantae; Streptophyta; Magnoliopsida; Malpighiales; Euphorbiaceae.
GAAGAAAGUGGUGGAAGCAAGGGGGAUUCAAUUGAUGAGGUAGUGAGUUGUGGAGAUGCUGGAGGAUACUGCAUAGUUGAUGCACCUUCGGAGCACCAACAAUAGUAAGGAGAGACAAGAGNNUGACCUAAGGAAGGUACAUAUGAUGCCGAGCUCAAAGUCGGGGAGAAGGCCAAUUUCCCUAGGGAUUCAAGAAAAGUUGAUGGCGCCACAGGACAACUCUUAGUUGC